GCAAAACGCGAAGAACCUUACCUACCCUUGACAUGUCUGGAAUCCCGAAGAGAUUUGGGAGUGCUCGCAAGAGAACCGGAACACAGGUGCUGCAUGGCUGUCGUCAGCUCGUGUCGUGAGAUGUUGGGUUAAGUCCCGCAACGAGCGCAACCCUUGUCAUUAGUUGCUACGAAAGGGCACUCUAAUGAGACUGCCGGUGACAAACCGGAGGAAGGUGGGGAUGACGUCAAGUCCUCAUGGCCCUUAUGGGUAGGCUUCACACGUCAUACAAUGGUCGGGACAGAGGGUCGCCAACCCGCGAGGGGAGCCAAUCCCACGAAACCCGAUCGUAGUCCGGAUCGUAGUCUGCAACUCGACUGCGUGAAGUCGGAAUCGCUAGUAAUCGCGGAUCAGCAUGUCGCGGUGAAUACGUU
This 413-nucleotide ribosomal RNA is filed under the name uncultured bacterium. Its description in RNAcentral is "bacterial SSU rRNA". It matches the Rfam family "Bacterial small subunit ribosomal RNA", at positions 954 to 1372 of the family's 1533-position model. The record is from RNAcentral.